This is a long non-coding RNA of Brienomyrus brachyistius, 648 nucleotides long. RefSeq lists it as uncharacterized. The transcript has 2 exons. The record is from RefSeq and is a predicted model, not a curated record. Lineage: Eukaryota; Metazoa; Chordata; Actinopteri; Osteoglossiformes; Mormyridae.
UUAAGAUUGUAUAACAUAGGAUUAGAUUAAUUAUAAAUAAAGCAGUCCUCCUUAGAGGGGGGGUGGUGGAGGGAAUAUUUAAGAAAUAAAAAUAGGAUCAGUUAACAUAAGGUAAAGAUAAGAUUGUACAACAUAGGAUUAGAUUAAUUAUAAAUAAAGUAGUCCUCCUUAGAGGGGGGGUGGUGGAGGGAAUAUUUAAGAAAUAAAAAUAGGAUCAGUUAACAUAAGGUAAAGAUAAGAUUGUAUAACAUAGGAUUAGAUUAAUUGUAAAUAAAGCAGUCCUCCUUAGAGGGGGGGUGGUGGAGGGAAUAUUUAAGAAAUAAAAAUAGGAUCAGUUAACAUAAGGUAAAGAUAAGAUUGUAUAACAUAGGAUUAGAUUAAUUAUAAAUAAAGCAGUCCUCCUUAGAGGGGGGGUGGUGGAGGGAAUAUUUAAGAAAUAAAAAUAGGAUCAGUUAACAUAAGGUUAAGAUUAGAUUGUAUAACAUAGGGCUACAGUGAAGAAAUCAAAAAUUUCAAGGCAGCAUGAAGGUAACGCACAAUCAGGGAUGUGCAAUUUCUGAGGCAUGUAUUCAAAAAAAGUAUUUUAAUUGUGUUUUAUGAUUCAUAUUUGAGUUCAUGAAAUAAAAUGUUUUUUUCUACAGACUUUGA